CGGGGCGUGGCGCAGCUUGGUAGCGCACCUGCUUUGGGAGCAGGGGGUCGCAGGUUCAAAUCCUGUCGCCCCGAC
Molecule: transfer RNA, 75 nt
Filed under: Corynebacterium flavescens
Lineage: Bacteria; Bacillati; Actinomycetota; Actinomycetes; Mycobacteriales; Corynebacteriaceae
Also listed under: 17 other names
Description: tRNA-Pro
Rfam family: tRNA
About the family: Transfer RNA (tRNA) molecules are approximately 80 nucleotides in length. Their secondary structure includes four short double-helical elements and three loops (D, anti-codon, and T loops).
Source: RNAcentral